AACAAACAAACAAACAAAAAACCCACAAAGAAAACACAUGAAAACUCCAUCACUUUUCCUUCAUCUUGCACUACAGAGUCAUGUCUGAGACCCAAGAGCCUGAUAUCCACUGAGCUACUGCUUUCAAGCAAUCACUUGCAUAAAUUGUUGCCAGUGUACUGAAAGGCUGCUCUCAGAUCUCCCUGGAUCCUUCUCUUCUCCAGGCUGAACAGCCCCAGCUCUCAGCCUGUCCUUGCGGGGAUGGUGAUCCAUCCCUUGGAUCAUUUUUGUGGUCCUCGUCUGGACACGCCCCAACAGAUCCAUGGCUCUCCUGUACUGAGAACUCCACAUCUGGAUGCAGUACUCCGGAUGAGGUCUCACCAGCACAGCCUAGAGGAGCAGGAUCACCUCCCUCAACCUGCUGGCC
Gallus gallus (chicken) is the source of this 406-nucleotide long non-coding RNA. NCBI's taxonomy places the organism in Eukaryota, Metazoa, Chordata, Aves, Galliformes, Phasianidae. The record is from Ensembl.